AGAUGAAACAAGUCUGGCAGAAGAUGUGCAACUGGAGCAGGUGUCUCUAACACCAGCCAUCAUUGUCUGUGGACAAUCAUGCUAUUCCUCAACAAGGUACAUGCUGAGUCUCGAUCAGACCCUUAUCAACACAAACAUCCCCUCCUUCAUUUCUGCGUUGUGCCUGAUGUUCGGGAGCUACUACUGUUUUAACAUCCAUUAUCCAUCUGAGCUGGCUUCAACUCUGGAAUUUCUUCAAAGGUGUUUUUUCACGAUAAAUCCAGAAAAGGGAACCAAAGUGGAGAAUAAAAACUCAAAGCGUCGUCUCAACCUGAACCCCCGAGUCCUCACCCUGAUACAGGAAAUCACCGAUCACGAGUGGUGUGA
Pygocentrus nattereri (red-bellied piranha) is the source of this 366-nucleotide long non-coding RNA. RefSeq lists it as uncharacterized. NCBI's taxonomy places the organism in Eukaryota, Metazoa, Chordata, Actinopteri, Characiformes, Serrasalmidae. The transcript has 3 exons. The record is from RefSeq and is a predicted model, not a curated record.